GACGAACGCUGGCGGCGUGCUUAACACAUGCAAGUCGAGCGGAAAGGCCACUUCGGUGGUACUCGAGCGGCGAACGGGUGAGUAACACGUGAGUAAUCUGCCCUUGGCUUUGGGAUAGCCACCGGAAACGGUGAUUAAUACCGGAUACGACCACUCCAGGCAUCUGGUGGUGGUGGAAAGUUUUUCGGCCAGGGAUGUGCUCGCGGCCUAUCAGCUUGAUGGUGAGGUAAUGGCUCACCAUGGCUUCGACGGGUAGCCGGCCUGAGAGGGUGACCGGUCACACUGGGACUGAGACACGGCCCAGACUCCUACGGGAGGCAGCAGUGGGGAAUAUUGGACAAUGGGCGGAAGCCUGAUCCAGCAACGCCGCGUGAGGGACGACGGCCUUCGGGUUGUAAACCUCUUUCGGUAGGGACGAAGCGCAAGUGACGGUACCUACUAAAGAAGCACCGGCCAACUACGUG
This 464-nucleotide ribosomal RNA is filed under the name uncultured bacterium. Its description in RNAcentral is "partial 16S ribosomal RNA". It matches the Rfam family "Bacterial small subunit ribosomal RNA", at positions 28 to 507 of the family's 1533-position model. The record is from RNAcentral.